RNAcentral lists this RNase P RNA (377 nucleotides) under Phycicoccus elongatus. RNAcentral describes it as "RNase P RNA component class A". It matches the Rfam family "Bacterial RNase P class A". Rfam says of the family: Ribonuclease P (RNase P) is a ubiquitous endoribonuclease, found in archaea, bacteria and eukarya as well as chloroplasts and mitochondria. RNAcentral also lists the same sequence under 5 other names. The record is from RNAcentral. Lineage: Bacteria; Bacillati; Actinomycetota; Actinomycetes; Micrococcales; Intrasporangiaceae.
UGAGUCGGCCAGGCGGUCGCGUCGGUGGGCAACCACCGCCGAGGAACGUCCGGGCUCCACAGGGCAAGGUGGUGGGCAACACCCACCCGGGGUGACCCGCGGGACAGUGCCACAGAGAACAGACCGCCGGUGCCUUGCGCACCGGUAAGGGUGAAACGGUGGUGUAAGAGACCACCAGCGAUCCGGGUGACCGGAUCGGCUCGGUAAACCCCACCCGGAGCAAGCUCAGACAGGAUGCGUCUUCAGGGCGGCCCGCCCGAGCAUCCGGGUAGAGCGCUGGAGGGCGUCGGCAACGGCGCUCGUAGAUGGAUGACCGUCGCUUCGUCACCGGUAACGGUGGGGGAGAACAGAACCCGGCGUAUCGGCCGACUCAUCCC